RNAcentral lists this ribosomal RNA (432 nucleotides) under uncultured bacterium. RNAcentral's name for it is "partial 16S ribosomal RNA". It matches the Rfam family "Bacterial small subunit ribosomal RNA", at positions 29 to 507 of the family's 1533-position model. The record is from RNAcentral.
ACGAACGCUGGCGGCAGGCCUAACACAUGCAAGUCGAGCGAGAUCUUCGGGUCUAGCGGCGGACGGGUGAGUAACGCGUGGGAAUAUGCCCUUCUCUGCGGAAUAGCCUCGGGAAACUGAGCGUAAUACCGCAUACGCCCUUUGGGGGAAAGAUUUAUCGGAGUAGGAUUAGCCCGCGUUGGAUUAGGUAGUUGGUGGGGUAACGGCCUACCAAGCCGACGAUCCAUAGCUGGUUUGAGAGGAUGAUCAGCCACACUGGGACUGAGACACGGCCCAGACUCCUACGGGAGGCAGCAGUGGGGAAUCUUAGACGAUGGGGGCAACCCUGAUCUAGCCAUGCCGCGUGAGUGAUGAAGGCCUUAGGGUUGUAAAGCUCUUUCAGCUGGGAAGAUAAUGACGGUACCAGCAGAAGAAGCCCCGGCUAACUCCAUG